This is a long non-coding RNA of Alnus glutinosa, 503 nucleotides long. RefSeq lists it as uncharacterized. The transcript has 2 exons. Lineage: Eukaryota; Viridiplantae; Streptophyta; Magnoliopsida; Fagales; Betulaceae. The record is from RefSeq and is a predicted model, not a curated record.
UUUUUUUUUAGAUCUGAUUCUGAAAUUUCGUUUUGUUAGGUGCUAAUGGAUGCGAUUUUGAGUUUCUCGAUCGGUCUCAUACAAUUUCUCAGAAACCGAAUUGGAAUGAAACCUUGGAGAUGGGAAGCUGCAUAGACGAGACCCGCUGCUAUUAUUUUCACGGUGAAACUGAAAUCUACGUUCCUUCAUUUCCUUUUCCAUUACUUCAAAAUUUUAGGCCUCUAUUAAAUUUGGAAAAAACGGAAACGACGACGGUUUCCCAAACAAAUCUUCUACCUCUUAGAUUAAGGAGUUUGGUAGAGGAGAGACUGGACUUGGAGAAGAUGAUGCUUGGGAGUUGGUUCAAUGUUAUGGGGUUACAUUGCCAAAACAUUUAAUUGAUGCGACUGAGUGUAUUGUACAGCAGAAAAAUCAGAACACUAAAGAGGGAGAAGCGCUGUUGUUAAUUACCGGAUAACAUAUUGGCUCUCUUUAAAUGCAUGUUAUCAAUUGCCUUGGCACUA